GGGAACGUGCCUUUAGGUUCGGAAUAACUCAGGGAAACUUGUGCUAAUACCGGAUGUGCCCUUCGGGGGAAAGAUUUAUCGCCUUUAGAGCGGCCCGCGUCUGAUUAGCUAGUUGGUGAGGUAAUGGCUCACCAAGGCUACGAUCAGUAGCUGGUCUGAGAGGAUGACCAGCCACAUUGGGACUGAGACACGGCCCAAACUCCUACGGGAGGCAGCAGUGGGGAAUCUUGCGCAAUGGGCGAAAGCCUG
Molecule: ribosomal RNA, 249 nt
Filed under: proteobacterium enrichment culture clone E70
Lineage: Bacteria; Pseudomonadati; Pseudomonadota
Description: partial 16S ribosomal RNA
Rfam family: Bacterial small subunit ribosomal RNA
Source: RNAcentral